GGUGUGCCUUGCAAUCUUCCGCCACCCUUCGGAUUUUCCGCUGGGAGGGAGAGAUGAAGCCAAAUGCAGAAACUCCAUGAAAAAGGAAAAUGUUUCAAUCCAUGUAACUUUCACCCCAAACUAAGAAAUGAAUGAAAGUAGGGGAUCAGAGACACAAGAUUGGGGAAAGCCUUCCCUAGUCUACGCGCUGGUCCUAUAACCAAAGAGCCAUUGGUCAGAUUCAGGUAAAUCUGUUUGAUUAAAAAUAGCUAGCUAUGGUUUUUAAUCACAACUUAG
Molecule: long non-coding RNA, 276 nt
Filed under: Mustela putorius furo (domestic ferret)
Lineage: Eukaryota; Metazoa; Chordata; Mammalia; Carnivora; Mustelidae
Description: lncRNA (ENSMPUG00000029177.1)
Source: RNAcentral